CCUACGGGGGGCAGCAGUGGGGAAUAUUGGACAAUGGGGGAAACCCUGAUCCAGCGACGCCGCGUGAGUGAAGAAGUAUUUCGGUACGUAAAGCUCUAUCAGCAGGAAAGAAAAUGACGGUACCUGAAUCAGAAGCCCCGGCAAACUACGUGCAAGCAGCCGCGGUCAUACGUGGGGGGCACGCGUUAUACGGAUUUACUGGGUGGUAAGGGGGCGUAGAAGGGAGCGCAGGUCGGGAGUGAAAGGCCUGGGCCCCACCCUGGAACCGCUCUGGAAACUGUGAAGCUGGAGUGCAGGAGGGGUAAGCGGAAUGCCUGGUGUAGCGGUGAAAUGCGUAGAUAUCAGGAGGAACACCGGCGGCGAAGGCGGCUUACUGGACUGUAACUGACGUUGAGGCUCGAAGGCGUGGGUAUCAAACAGGAUUAGAUACCCGAGUAGUC
RNAcentral lists this ribosomal RNA (440 nucleotides) under uncultured bacterium. RNAcentral's name for it is "partial 16S ribosomal RNA". It matches the Rfam family "Bacterial small subunit ribosomal RNA", at positions 338 to 795 of the family's 1533-position model. The record is from RNAcentral.